RNAcentral lists this ribosomal RNA (396 nucleotides) under uncultured bacterium. RNAcentral describes it as "partial 16S ribosomal RNA". It matches the Rfam family "Bacterial small subunit ribosomal RNA", at positions 523 to 918 of the family's 1533-position model. The record is from RNAcentral.
AUACGUAGGGAGCGAGCGUUGUCCGGAAUUACUGGGUGUAAAGGGAGCGUAGGCGGGAGUGCAAGUCAGAUGUGAAAUACAUGGGCUCAACCCAUGGGCUGCAUUUGAAACUGCAUUUCUUGAGUGAAGUAGAGGUAAGCGGAAUUCCUGGUGUAGCGGUGAAAUGCGUAGAUAUCAGGAGGAACACCGGUGGCGAAGGCGGCUUACUGGGCUUUUACUGACGCUGAGGCUCGAAAGCGUGGGGAGCAAACAGGAUUUGAUACCCUGGUAGUCCACGCUGUAAACGAUGAUUACUAGGUGUGGGGGGACUGACCCCUUCCGUGCCGCAGUUAACACAAUAAGUAAUCCACCUGGGGAGUACGGCCGCAAGGUUGAAACUCAAAGGAAUUGACGGGG